This 72-nucleotide transfer RNA is filed under the name Fidelibacterota bacterium. RNAcentral's name for it is "tRNA-Glu". It matches the Rfam family "tRNA". Rfam says of the family: Transfer RNA (tRNA) molecules are approximately 80 nucleotides in length. Their secondary structure includes four short double-helical elements and three loops (D, anti-codon, and T loops). Lineage: Bacteria; Pseudomonadati; Fidelibacterota. The record is from RNAcentral.
GGCCCGUUCGUCUAGGGGUUAGGACGCCGCCCUCUCAAGGCGGUAACACGAGUUCGAUUCUCGUACGGGCUA